This 254-nucleotide ribosomal RNA is filed under the name uncultured bacterium. Its description in RNAcentral is "partial 16S ribosomal RNA". It matches the Rfam family "Bacterial small subunit ribosomal RNA", at positions 524 to 776 of the family's 1533-position model. The record is from RNAcentral.
UACGGGGGGGGCAAGCGUUGUUCGGAAUUACUGGGCGUAAAGGGCUCGUAGGCGGCCAACUAAGUCGGACGUGAAAUCCCUCGGCUCAACCGGGGAACUGCGUCCGAUACUGGAUGGCUUGAGUUCGGGAGAGGGAUGCGGAAUUCCAGGUGUAGCGGUGAAAUGCGUAGAUAUCUGGAGGAACACCGGUGGCGAAGGCGGCGAUCCUGGACCGACACUGACGCUGAGGAGCGAAAGCCAGGGGAGCAAACGGG